RNAcentral lists this transfer RNA (72 nucleotides) under Piridium sociabile. RNAcentral's name for it is "tRNA-Glu". It matches the Rfam family "tRNA". Rfam says of the family: Transfer RNA (tRNA) molecules are approximately 80 nucleotides in length. Their secondary structure includes four short double-helical elements and three loops (D, anti-codon, and T loops). Further hydrogen bonds mediate the characteristic L-shaped molecular structure. tRNAs have two regions of fundamental functional importance: the anti-codon, which is responsible for specific mRNA codon recognition, and the 3' end, to which the tRNAs corresponding amino acid is attached (by aminoacyl-tRNA synthetases). tRNAs cope with the degeneracy of the genetic code in two manners: having more than one tRNA (with a specific anti-codon) for a particular amino acid; and 'wobble' base-pairing, i.e. permitting non-standard base-pairing at the 3rd anti-codon position. Lineage: Eukaryota; Vitrellaceae. The record is from RNAcentral.
GCCCCUAUCGUUUAAUGGUUAGGACCUCUCUUUUUCAUAGAGAUAAUAGGGGUUCAAUUCCCCUUAGGUGCA